Molecule: unclassified non-coding RNA, 274 nt
Filed under: uncultured Acidobacteriota bacterium
Lineage: Bacteria; Pseudomonadati; Acidobacteriota
Description: uncultured Acidobacteria bacterium contains 16S-23S intergenic spacer region
Source: RNAcentral
UCCGGUUUGACACCGGCAGUCUCCCUAGAGUGCCCGGCUUUACCCAGAAGGCCCUAUCUCUAGGGUUGUCAGAGGCAUUCUAGCCCAGGUAAGGUUCUUCGCGUUGCGUCGAAUUAAACCACAUGCUCCACCGCUUGUGCGGGUCCCCGUCAAUUCCUUUGAGUUUCAGUCUUGCGACCGUACUCCCCAGGCGGAAUGCUUAAAGCGUUAGCGACGGCACCCGGGGACUAUAUAACCCCAGACACCAAGCAUUCAUCGUUUAAGGCUAGGACUA